RNAcentral lists this ribosomal RNA (491 nucleotides) under uncultured bacterium. RNAcentral's name for it is "partial 16S ribosomal RNA". It matches the Rfam family "Bacterial small subunit ribosomal RNA", at positions 29 to 506 of the family's 1533-position model. The record is from RNAcentral.
AGUGAACGCUGGCGGUAGGCCUAACACAUGCGAGUCGAACGGCAGCACAGUAAGAGCUUGCUCUUACGGGUGGCGAGUGGCGGACGAGUGAGGAAUACAUCGGAAUCUACUUUUUCGUGGGGGAUGACGUAGGGAAACUUACGCUAAUACCGCAUACGACCUACGGGUGAAAGCAGGGGAUCUUCGGACCUUGCGCGAUUGAAUGAGCCGAUGUCGGAUUAGCUAGUUGGCGGGGUAAAGGCCCACCAAGGCGACGAUCCGUAGCUGGUCUGAGAGGAUGAUCAGCCACACUGGAACUGAGACACGGUCCAGACUCCUACGGGAGGCAGCAGUGGGGAAUAUUGGACAAUGGGCGCAAGCCUGAUCCAGCCAUACCGCGUGGGUGAAGAAGGCCUUCGGGUUGUAAAGCCCUUUUGUUGGGAAAGAAAAGCAGCAGGUUAAUACCCCGCUGUUCUGACGGUACCCAAAGAAUAAGCACCGGCUAACUUCGU